This 253-nucleotide ribosomal RNA is filed under the name uncultured bacterium. RNAcentral's name for it is "partial 16S ribosomal RNA". It matches the Rfam family "Bacterial small subunit ribosomal RNA", at positions 524 to 776 of the family's 1533-position model. The record is from RNAcentral.
UACAGAGGUCCCAAGCGUUGUUCGGAUUCACUGGGCGUAAAGGGUGCGUAGGCGGUUGGGUAAGUCUGUCGUGAAAUCUCCGAGCCUAACUCGGAAACUGCGUCGGAUACUAUUCAACUCGAGGAAUGGAGGGGAGACUGGAAUUCUCGGUGUAGCAGUGAAAUGCGCAGAUAUCAGGAGGAACACCGGUGGCGAAGGCGCCACUCUGGGCCGGUACUGACGCUGAGGAGCGAAAGCGUGGGUAGCAAACAGG